Rhipicephalus microplus (southern cattle tick) is the source of this 1284-nucleotide long non-coding RNA. The record is from RefSeq and is a predicted model, not a curated record. NCBI's taxonomy places the organism in Eukaryota, Metazoa, Arthropoda, Arachnida, Ixodida, Ixodidae.
CUGCUGCAAGUUCGGCAAAGCCUGAAGACCCAAGAACUGACAUUGAUUUUGGUGACAGCGAGGACACUGCCCUCAGUACGACCUCCAGUACCUCCAGCGCUACGUCCAGUGCUUGUGUCAAUUGCUUGGACCGACCUGCUCUGCGCUGCCGCUCCAUUGGUGCAAGCCAAACAGCAGACCAGGCCUGCCAGACUGAUGAUGCUGAUACCUGAGUACCUUUGGUUGAGUUUCUGUGCUGCAUGGACGGGCAUGGUAAAAGCACACAGGUCUCGCACACAACUAUUUGCAAUGCAGAAGUUCAGUGUAGCCCUUCAACAACCUCACGUCACAGUGGGCCAAGCCAGCGAAUUUCGUCUUUCAAUAGCUACGAAAGGGUUAGGUUAUGUUCUAGUGCUGUCAAGUCAUGUUCAUGUUCUAGUACCGAAAGCGUUAAGUCAUGUUCUAGUGUUCCAGUGUCUGUGGUGUUACAUUAGAAAUAUAUGCCGCUUUAUUUGCGCCGCUGCCUGUGGCUGCUGAUCGCUCUUGUGAUGUAUCGAUGCAUGACGGACUAUUGAUUUUUUGUUGAAGCUAAAGUUAGGAAUUUUCUACUUAUCACUAGCAGUAUUAUUUUCCACAAGCAGGUUGACCACUGUUAGACACUUCAAUGGUGUGCUUCGCACAUUAGCUACUGCAACUGAAAAAUGGAUAUUCAUUCCACCCAGACACAUCCUUAGAUCACUGAUGUCUGAUUGUUUCAAAUUGCACUGCCCAAACUGGACCAUGAUUAUCGAUUGCACAGAGGUUUCGACAGAGCAGCCAGCUUCUGUAACAGAGCAAAAGGCACUUUAUUGAAACUACUAGAGUCGCUUCACGCUGAAAUUUCUUGUAGCGAUCAAACGAAGUGUAGCUGUGUGUUUUCAUUCGAAAGCAUAUGGUGGAAGGUGUUCCGAUGCUUUUGUAACCUUAAAUUCUGACUUUCUGGAAAAAUAAAAACCAGGCGACAUGAUCAUGUCUGAUAAGGGAUUUCCUGGCAUUACUACAGAUCUCGGGAAGGCAGGGGCUGUACUUGUUAUGUCUCCUUUUCCCAGAGGCUAAGGCCAGUUUACUGAGGCUGAAGUACAGCUGAUUUAUAAACUUUCAAGGGUACGAAUUCGGGUGGAGCGCAUAAUUCAAUGAGUCAAAAUGUACAAUGUUUUAGGUACACGCGUGCCCAAUGAAUUAAUUUCGGCCAUGUCCAAUAUUUUCCACAUGUGUUGCGAACUGGCAAAUAUUCAGCCUCCAAUAAUAAAGGUGUCAACUGCUGCA